This 72-nucleotide transfer RNA is filed under the name Chryseobacterium luteum. Its description in RNAcentral is "tRNA-Glu". It matches the Rfam family "tRNA". Rfam says of the family: Transfer RNA (tRNA) molecules are approximately 80 nucleotides in length. Their secondary structure includes four short double-helical elements and three loops (D, anti-codon, and T loops). Lineage: Bacteria; Pseudomonadati; Bacteroidota; Flavobacteriia; Flavobacteriales; Weeksellaceae. The record is from RNAcentral.
UCUGAUAUAGCUCAGCGGCAGAGCACCCGGCUCUCUUCCGGGAGGACACAGGUUCGAGCCCUGUUAUCAGAA